This 246-nucleotide ribosomal RNA is filed under the name uncultured bacterium. Its description in RNAcentral is "partial 16S ribosomal RNA". It matches the Rfam family "Bacterial small subunit ribosomal RNA", at positions 116 to 353 of the family's 1533-position model. The record is from RNAcentral.
CAUAAGUAACCUGCCCUAGACAGGGGGAUAACUAUUGGAAACGAUAGCUAAGACCGCAUAGGUCUUCGAACCGCAUGGUUUGAAGAGGAAAAGAGGCGCAAGCUUCUGCUGAUGGAUGGACCCGCGGUGCAUUAGCUAGUUGGUGAGGUAACGGCUCACCAAGGCCGUGAUGCAUAGCCGACCUGAGAGGGUGAUCGGCCACAUUGGGACUGAGACACGGCCCAAACUCCUACGGGAGGCAGCAUG